RNAcentral lists this microRNA precursor (129 nucleotides) under Prunus persica (peach). RNAcentral's name for it is "miR535b stem-loop (ppe-MIR535b)". Its record names the gene ppe-MIR535b. The stretch from base 17 to 111 matches the Rfam family "MIR535 microRNA precursor family". The record is from miRBase by way of RNAcentral. Lineage: Eukaryota; Viridiplantae; Streptophyta; Magnoliopsida; Rosales; Rosaceae.
GAGCCGAGCUAUGAUUGACGUUGUUUGACGACGAGAGAGAGCACGCUUGUCGGCACCCAUGAAAGGGCCAUGGAUGUUUACGGGCGUGCUCUCUCUUGUUGUCAUACAGUCUAUCUGCUGGUUCGGAUC